AUUGAACGCCGGCGGCAUGCUUUACACAUGCAAGUCGAACGGUAACAGGUUAAGCUGACGAGUGGCGAACGGGUGAGUAAUGCAUCGGAACGUGCCCGAUCGUGGGGGAUAACGCAGCGAAAGCUGCGCUAAUACCGCAUACGAUCUGAAGAUGAAAACGGGGGACCGUAAGGCCUCGCGCGAUCGGAGCGGCCGAUGUCAGAUUAGGUAGUUGGUGGGGUAAAGGCCCACCAAGCCGACGAUCUGUAGCUGGUCUGAGAGGACGACCAGCCACACUGGGACUGAGACACGGCCCAGACUCCUACGGGAGGCAGCAGUGGGGAAUUUUGGACAAUGGGCGAAAGCCUGAUCCAGCAAUGCCGCGUGCAGGAAGAAGGCCUUCGGGUUGUAAACUGCUUUUGUACGGAGCGAAAAGGUCCUUUCUAAUACAAGGGGCUCAUGACGGUACCGUAAGAAUAAGCACCGGCUAACUACGUGCCAGCCGCCGCGGUAA
This 493-nucleotide ribosomal RNA is filed under the name uncultured bacterium. RNAcentral describes it as "partial 16S ribosomal RNA". It matches the Rfam family "Bacterial small subunit ribosomal RNA", at positions 30 to 523 of the family's 1533-position model. The record is from RNAcentral.